UGGGGAAUCUUGCACAAUGGGGGAAACCCUGAUGCAGCGACGCCGCGUGGGCGAUGAAGCCCUUCGGGGUGUAAAGCUCUUUCGGCAGGAACGAUCAUGACGGUACCUGAAGAAGAAGCUGCGGCUAACUACGUGCCAGCAGCCGCGGUAAUACGUAGGCAGCGAGCGUUGUUCGGAGUUACUGGGCGUAAAGCGUGCGUAGGCGGUUUUGUAAGUUUGGUGUGAAAUCUCCCGGCUCAACUGGGAGGGUGCGCCGAAAACUGCAAGGCUGGAGUGUGGGAGAGGUAGGCGGAAUUCCUGGUGUAGCGGUGAAAUGCGUAGAUAUCAGGAGGAACACCUGUGGUGUAGACGGCUUACUGGACCAUGACUGACGCUGAGGCACGAAAGCGUGGGGAGCAAACAGGAUUAGAUACCCUGGUAGUCCACGCCCUAAACGAUGCAUACUUGGUGUGGGUAAUUCAUUUUAUCCGUGCCGGAGCUAACGCGUUAAGUAUGCCGCCUGGGGAGUACGGUCGCAAGGCUGA
Molecule: ribosomal RNA, 524 nt
Filed under: uncultured Acidobacteriota bacterium
Lineage: Bacteria; Pseudomonadati; Acidobacteriota
Description: bacterial SSU rRNA
Rfam family: Bacterial small subunit ribosomal RNA
Source: RNAcentral